This is a long non-coding RNA of Dendronephthya gigantea, 666 nucleotides long. RefSeq lists it as uncharacterized. The record is from RefSeq and is a predicted model, not a curated record. The transcript has 7 exons. NCBI's taxonomy places the organism in Eukaryota, Metazoa, Cnidaria, Anthozoa, Malacalcyonacea, Nephtheidae.
AGUUACCAAUGAUGAGUCUCGUAGAUAUGGAAAUAGCAAAGUCAUUGUUGAGUCAGAUGUUGCAGAGAUUGCUGUGAGUUAUGAUGGCACAUGGGCUAAGCAAGGGUUCACUGCAAACUUUGGAAUUGAUUUUGUUAUUUCUGUUGACACUGGUGAGGUUCUUGACUAUGGUUUUGGAUCCAAAUUAUCGAAGUUUGACAUGUUUAUCUGAACAGCCAGUUGUCAAAAGAUGAAGUAGAAAUAUUUUCUUAAAGCUGUGACAGUUUAAUAUCAGUUCAACUGAUUCAGUUGGGGAACUUGUGGAGGUGAAUUUCAAAAUAGCGAUGCCACAGAGAUGAUGCCAUGUGGACCUUGUGGCUUUCACCUUUGUGGGCAAGCUGGUCGUGCUGUGUGUUCAAACAUGAAGAUGAAGCCGAUUUCGAGGGAAUCUUUCAACGUGCUAGCCAGUAAAGAUUUGUGUUGGAUAUGUUCCUGUUUCUUCAGAAGCCAAGGCUUCCUAGUGGCCACGUUGCAUUUUGAGGUAUAUACUUUGAUGAUUGGAAUUUACCCUCUUCGAUAGCCAAGGUGAGAAAGAUCAUUGUUAAGUUUUAUCUGACUCCAGGAUGUAUUUGAUAUGUUAUGCUGAUAUAGACAGAGCCACAGCAUCGGCAUUGCAAAUCCUACCUA